GGAAGGCGAUGGGUUAUAACCUUAUAAGGAGGAUAAUGAAACUUAGUGUCAUCCGGGAAGGUUGUAACCCCAUAGUACUCAACCAAUGAGGAACUAGGGGAGGGACUUGCGUACCGGAGAUAAAUUACCUGUUGUGACUGACCCAGGUGCGUCGUCCCAGACACCCGAUGUUACAAGACCGUUAUAAAAAGUCUCAUUUUCACUGUUCUUCGUGCCUCUAAGUCCAUUCUUUGGGUUUGAACGGGUGAGUGUGUUUCUCACAACCUGAGGGCCCGUUCGGGAUCUCUGUGCCUACGUGGAGUGGGACUCCGGCUGAGAGAAGAGACAUGUCCCACCCGAUUUUUGUGCCCCACUCUGUCUGGGUGUCCUGGCUCCCCACAGAAGCCAUAGAUAAACCCGAGACUGUUAUUCAGGAGACGGUGGAGGUGACGCAGGGAGAAAAGCAGGCACUGCGGCAAACAGGCAACCUCGUGCACCAGCCAAGGUUGGGUAUUUCCUUCAGCCUAUUAAAGGAAUUGGGAACCUGUGGUACCUUCCUUUGAGUGUCACGGGAGUACCAUCUCUUUACCUUGGCAAGAGCAGAUCCUUCAUAUCUGUAGUUGAAUCACACACUCUCAGAUAUCUGAGCUUGAAUUCUACAGGGACACUUAUCUCAGCUUUUGAGUUUUAGGAGAAAUAGCCUGCAGACCAGAGAAUAAGGAAAAGUUGUUUCCUGCCAAAGAACAAGCAGUAUUGUGAAAUAUAAAAUUUUAUUGUUGCGGUGAAAGAAAAUUUCAGUAUCAAAUUUUUGAAAACACCAUGUAAGAGAUGCCUGCUUUCCCUUCACCUUCCGGCAUGAUUGUAAGUUUCCUGAGGCCUCUCCAGACAUGCUUCCUGUACAGCCUGUAGAACUAUUCUGACACCUCCACUUCACACAAAACACUCCACUUUAGAGUUCCUUGGCCCCUUAAAGUAAGUUUUACAAGUCAAACCUUGAACCAGCAUGAAAAUAGCUUUAUCUCAUGUGUGGUCCACACUAGGUCCUUGGUAAAUAUUCAGUCUCAUCUCAUUUUCCUACAGUUCCGAGUAUAGCUACUUUCUAGAUACAGCAACACCCUAUCUUAGCUUUUCCUUCCACCUUAUCUUAGCUUUUCCUUCCAGGCAACUUGACAGAAUAUCUCUCUUGCCCUCCUCAUUCCUUGAGAUGGAAGUCAGACCCAGGUCACUGCAUUCCCCUAGAUACAAGGAAUCUAUAUCAAAUUAUCUCAGUGUACCAACAAGGCUUGAGUAGAGGGUUAGAUACUUCCCACCUUGUACCCCUAGGGUUAAAGAAGUAGAACUUAAAUCACAACUUUGCCCUUAAAAUACAUUGUAAAAAUUUCUCUCUUUUCACAAGCUUAUGACUCCUUGCUGUUCUGGAUAUGAAUGAAAGACUGAAAAGUUGUGAAAACAGUCACUAUUUAUGUGUAACUUUUUUUCACUUUGGAAUUUUAGUUUGUUUUAUCAUGAUGCUUCAGAUAAAACUCUCAUUUUAUUGCUUUAUCUAUACAUUUUACUUCCUUGUCCCAGGCCUAUCUUAAAUUCAAUAUCUCAUUUAGGUCUCAUAAUAAUUCCAUGGUGAAUAUUCUCACAAAUCCAAGGUGAAUAUUUCCUAAUUAUUUCCAUUUUAUAACUGAAGAAAUUGAGGAGUAGACAGAUCAAUUCACUUGCCUAAAGCCAAAGGUAGUAAGUGGUGCAGAGAUUAAGAUCAACAUUGUUUGCACCUUUCAUGAGUAUGUGCUCUAAUCCACUGCUCUAUGCUAUAUACUGCUAUCAUAUAAACCAAAGAACGUGUGGAACUCCAUGGCUGAAAUUACGACUAGUCACAACAAGUUUUUCUUUGUUUUAUGGAAGAAGCACAGGUGCACAAAAGUUCUGAACUAGGACAAGAAAAAU
RNAcentral lists this long non-coding RNA (1914 nucleotides) under Homo sapiens (human). RNAcentral describes it as "HSALNT0090704". The record is from RNAcentral. Lineage: Eukaryota; Metazoa; Chordata; Mammalia; Primates; Hominidae.